Molecule: ribosomal RNA, 569 nt
Filed under: uncultured bacterium
Lineage: Bacteria
Description: partial 16S ribosomal RNA
Rfam family: Bacterial small subunit ribosomal RNA
Source: RNAcentral
UGGGGAAUAUUGCACAAUGGGCGCAAGCCUGAUGCAGCAACGCCGCGUGAGGGACGACGGCCUUCGGGUUGUAAACCUCUUUUAGUAGGGAAGAAGCGAAAGUGACGGUACCUGCAGAAAAAGCACCGGCUAACUACGUGCCAGCAGCCGCGGUAAUACGUAGGGUGCGAGCGUUGUCCGGAAUUAUUGGGCGUAAAGAGCUCGUAGGCGGUCUGUCGCGUCUGCUGUGAAAACCCGAGGCUCAACCUCGGGCCUGCAGUGGGUACGGGCAGACUAGAGUGCGGUAGGGGAGAAUGGAGUUCCUGGUGUAGCGGUGGAAUGCGCAGAUAUCAGGAGGAACACCGAUGGCGAAGGCAGUUCUCUGGGCCGUAACUGACGCUGAGGAGCGGAAGCGUGGGGAGCGAACAGGAUUAGAUACCCUGGUAGUCCACGCCGUAAACGUUGGGCGCUAGAUGUGGGGACCAUUCCACGGUUUCCGUGUCGCAGCUAACGCAUUAAGCGCCCCGCCUGGGGAGUACGGCCGCAAGGCUAAAACUUGAAAGGAAUUGACGGGGUCAUAGCUGUUUCCU